Molecule: signal recognition particle RNA, 299 nt
Filed under: Oncorhynchus kisutch (coho salmon)
Lineage: Eukaryota; Metazoa; Chordata; Actinopteri; Salmoniformes; Salmonidae
Description: Metazoan signal recognition particle RNA (ENSOKIG00005022621.1)
Rfam family: Metazoan signal recognition particle RNA
About the family: The signal recognition particle (SRP) is a universally conserved ribonucleoprotein. It is involved in the co-translational targeting of proteins to membranes. The eukaryotic SRP consists of a 300-nucleotide 7S RNA and six proteins: SRPs 72, 68, 54, 19, 14, and 9.
Source: Rfam by way of RNAcentral
GCCGGGUGCGGUGGCAUGUGCCUGUAAUCCAAGUCACUGGGAGGCUGAGGUUGGUGGAUCAAGUGAGCUGAGGAGCUCUGGGCUGCAGCACACUAUGUUGAACGGGUGUCCACGCUAAGUUCGGUAUCGAUAUGGUGUUCCAGGGGGAGCCCGGGACCACCAGGUUGUCUAAGGAGGGGUGAACCGGCCCAGGUCGGAAACGAAGCAGGUCAAAUCCCCCGUGCUGUCCAGUAGUUGGAUAAUACCUGUGAGUAGAUGCUGCAGUGCAGCCUUGGCGAAACAUCGAGACCUAAUCUUUC